CCUACGCGGGGCAGCAGUGAGGAAUAUUGGUCAAUGGACGCAAGUCUGAACCAGCAAUGCCGCGUGCAGGAUGACGGCUCUAUGAGUUGUAAACUGUUUUUGUACGAGGGUAAACCCCGAUACGUGUCUCGUGUUGAACGUAUCGUUCGAAUAAGCAUCGGCUAACUCAGUGCCAGCAGCCGCGGUAAUACGGAGGAUGCGAGCGUUAUCCGGAUUUAUUGGGUUAAAAGGGUGCGCAGUCGGAUUGUUAAGUCAGCGGUAAAAUCGUGGGGCUCAACCCCAGCCAGCCGUUGAAACUGGGGAUCUAGAGUGUGCGAGAGGUAGGCGGAAUGCGUGGUGUAGCGGUGAAAUGCAUAGAGAUCACGCAGAACCCCGAUUGCGAAGGCAGCAUACCGGGGCACAACUGACGCUCAGGAACGAAAGCGUGGGUAUCGAACAGGAUUAGAUACCCUUGUAGUC
This 459-nucleotide ribosomal RNA is filed under the name uncultured bacterium. RNAcentral's name for it is "partial 16S ribosomal RNA". It matches the Rfam family "Bacterial small subunit ribosomal RNA", at positions 338 to 795 of the family's 1533-position model. The record is from RNAcentral.